RNAcentral lists this ribosomal RNA (297 nucleotides) under Triticum aestivum (bread wheat). RNAcentral's name for it is "partial small subunit ribosomal RNA". It matches the Rfam family "Eukaryotic large subunit ribosomal RNA", at positions 1890 to 2184 of the family's 3401-position model. Lineage: Eukaryota; Viridiplantae; Streptophyta; Magnoliopsida; Poales; Poaceae. The record is from RNAcentral.
AUGGAACAAUGUAGGCAAGGGAAGUCGGCAAAACGGAUCCGUAACUUCGGGAAAAGGAUUGGCUCUGAGGACUGGGCUCGGGGGUCCCGGCCCCGAACCCGUCGGCUGUCGGCGGAUUGCUCGAGCUGCUCACGCGGCGAGAGCGGGUCGCCGCGUGCCGGCCGGGGGACGGACCGGGAAUCGCCCCUUCGGGGGCUUUCCCCGAGCAUGAAACAGUCGACUCAGAACUGGUACGGACAAGGGGAAUCCGACUGUUUAAUUAAAACAAAGCAUUGCGAUGGUCCUCGCGGAUGCUGA